UGAGGAAUAUUGGUCAAUGGACGAGAGUCUGAACCAGCCAAGUAGCGUGAAGGAUGACUGCCCUAUGGGUUGUAAACUUCUUUUAUACGGGAAUAAAGUGAGGCACGUGUGCCUUUUUGUAUGUACCGUAUGAAUAAGGAUCGGCUAACUCCGUGCCAGCAGCCGCGGUAAUACGGAGGAUCCGAGCGUUAUCCGGAUUUAUUGGGUUUAAAGGGAGCGUAGGCGGACGCUUAAGUCAGUUGUGAAAGUUUGCGGCUCAACCGUAAAAUUGCAGUUGAUACUGGGUGUCUUGAGUACAGUAGAGGCAGGCGGAAUUCGUGGUGUAGCGGUGAAAUGCUUAGAUAUCACGAAGAACUCCGAUUGCGAAGGCAGCUUGCUGGACUGUAACUGACGCUGAUGCUCGAAAGUGUGGGUAUCAAACAGGAUUAGAUACCCUGGUAGUCCACACAGUAAACGAUGAAUACUCGCUGUUUGCGAUAUACAGUAAGCGGCCAAGCGAAAGCGUUAAGUAUUCCACCUGGGGAGUACGCCGGCAACGGUGAAACUCAAAGGAAUUGACGGGGGCCCGCACAAGCGGAGGAACAUGUGGUUUAAUUCGAUGAUACGCGAGGAACCUUACCCGGGCUUGAAUUGCAACUGAAUGAUGUGGAGACAUGUCAGCCGCAAGGCAGUUGUGAAGGUGCUGCAUGGUUGUCGUCAGCUCGUGCCGUGAGGUGUCGGCUUAAGUGCCAUAACGAGCGCAACCCUUAUCGAUAGUUACCAUCAGGUUAUGCUGGGGACUCUGUCGAGACUGCCGUCGUAAGAUGUGAGGAAGGUGGGGAUGACGUCAAAUCAGCACGGCCCUUACGUCCGGGGCUACACACGUGUUACAAUGGGGGGUACAGAAGGCAGCUACACGGCGACGUGAUGCUAAUCCCAAAAGCCUCUCUCAGUUCGGAUUGGAGUCUGCAACCCGACUCCAUGAAGCUGGAUUCGCUAGUAAUCGCGCAUCAGCCACGGCGCGGUGAAUACGUUCCC
RNAcentral lists this ribosomal RNA (1017 nucleotides) under uncultured organism. Its description in RNAcentral is "bacterial SSU rRNA". It matches the Rfam family "Bacterial small subunit ribosomal RNA", at positions 355 to 1375 of the family's 1533-position model. The record is from RNAcentral.